UACCUACGGGAGGCAGCAGUGGGGAAUAUUGCACAAUGGGGGAAACCCUGAUGCAGCGACGCCGCGUGAGUGAAGAAGUAUUUCGGUAUGUAAAGCUCUAUCAGCAGGAACGAGACAAGACGGUACCUGAAGAAGAAGCCCCGGCUAACUACGUGCCAGCAGCCGCGGUAAUACGUAGGGGGCAAGCGUUAUCCGGAUUUACUGGGUGUAAAGGGGGCGCAGACGGCGAUGCAAGCCAGGAGUGAAAGCCCGGGGCCCAACCCCGGGACUGCUCUUGGAACUGCGUGGCUGGAGUGCAGGAGGGG
This 305-nucleotide ribosomal RNA is filed under the name uncultured bacterium. Its description in RNAcentral is "bacterial SSU rRNA". It matches the Rfam family "Bacterial small subunit ribosomal RNA", at positions 335 to 657 of the family's 1533-position model. The record is from RNAcentral.